RNAcentral lists this ribosomal RNA (478 nucleotides) under uncultured bacterium. RNAcentral's name for it is "partial 16S ribosomal RNA". It matches the Rfam family "Bacterial small subunit ribosomal RNA", at positions 28 to 507 of the family's 1533-position model. The record is from RNAcentral.
GAUGAACGCUGGCGGCGUGCUUAACACAUGCAAGUCGAACGGGAAACCUUUUAUUGAAGCUUCGGCAGAUUUAGCUGGUUUCUAGUGGCGGACGGGUGAGUAACGCGUGGGUAACCUGCCUUAUACAGGGGGAUAACAGUCAGAAAUGGCUGCUAAUACCGCAUAAGCGCACAGAGCUGCAUGGCUCAGUGUGAAAAACUCCGGUGGUAUAAGAUGGACCCGCGUUGGAUUAGCUGGUUGGGGGGGUAACGGCCCACCAAGGCGACGAUCCAUAGCCGGCCCGAGAGGGUGAACGGCCACAUUGGGACUGAGACACGGCCCAGACUCCUACGGGAGGCAGCAGUGGGGAAUAUUGCACAAUGGGGGAAACCCUGAUGCAGCGACGCCGCGUGAAGGAAGAAGUAUCUCGGUAUGUAAACUUCUAUCAGCAGGGAAGAUAAUGACGGUACCUGACUAAGAAGCCCCGGCUAACUACGUG